Molecule: ribosomal RNA, 406 nt
Filed under: uncultured bacterium
Lineage: Bacteria
Description: partial 16S ribosomal RNA
Rfam family: Bacterial small subunit ribosomal RNA
Source: RNAcentral
AUUGAACGCUGGCGGCAGGCCUAACACAUGCAAGUCGAACGAGUGGCGGACGGGUGAGUAAUGUUUGGGAAUCUGUCCGAUGGAGGGGGAUAACUACUGGAAACGGUAGCUAAUACCGCAUACUAUCGGAUGAGCCCAGAUGGGAUUAGCUAGUGGGUGGGGUAAUGGCUCACCAAGCGGACGAUCCCUAGCUGGUCUGAGAGGAUGACCAGCAACACUGGAACGGAGACACGGCCCAGACUCCUACGGGAGGCAGCAGUGGGGAAUAUUGCACAAGGGGGGCAAGCCUGAUGCGGCCAUGCCGCGUGUAUGAAGAAGGCCUUCGGGUUGUAAAGUACUUUCAGCGGGGAGGCGUUACUUGCAGAAGAAGCACCGGCUAACUCCGUGCCAGCAGCCGCGGUAAUAC